AGAGAGAGAGAGAGAGAGGGUGCGCAGGUUUAGAGGCUGGCUGGCUGGCUAAAUAGAAGCAGGUGAUGAGGGAGCACCUUGACGGGACAAAAUGGUAUCAGAAGUCCACUCGUGGGGUCAAGUAAAAAGGAAAGUUAAAAAAUUUGCCUUUGUUAAUUCUCCAGAGUCCAAGACCCAAUACUGCCCUCAGCUCCAACCGAGAAAACCCACCUGAUAAUGUGGGCAAAAUUGUCAAAUUAAUGUGUCUGGAGAGUUGGACAAUAUAUUUUACCUCCAGAAGACUAAAACUUUACAGUGAUCAAGUUAUCCAGUUCGCUUCCUCUUGUUCUGUACUUGAACAGUGCUUUCCAGGGCCAAAGAUAUUCAGGUUCAGGUCAUAAGCAGUCCUGUGUACUGUUGCAUAUGAAACCCAUCUCACAAGUAAGGUGAUUUGGAUCAUACAAGCACUGUCAAGAUUGAUAUUGCAGCAGCAGAACAUCAAGGAAAUCUCUGUGAAAAACCUUCUGAAGUUGAGGUUUUAGGGUUCAAGAAGAAAAGGGGAUUAGGGAUUUAGGAUUAGGAAGG
Molecule: unclassified non-coding RNA, 564 nt
Filed under: Hevea brasiliensis (rubber tree)
Lineage: Eukaryota; Viridiplantae; Streptophyta; Magnoliopsida; Malpighiales; Euphorbiaceae
Source: RNAcentral